RNAcentral lists this ribosomal RNA (397 nucleotides) under uncultured bacterium. Its description in RNAcentral is "partial 16S ribosomal RNA". It matches the Rfam family "Bacterial small subunit ribosomal RNA", at positions 523 to 918 of the family's 1533-position model. The record is from RNAcentral.
AUACGUGGGUGACAAGCGUUAUCCGGAUUUACUGGGCGUAAAGGGCGUGUAGGCGGUCUUGCAAGUCAGAAGUGAAAUUCCUGAGCUCAACUCGGGCGCUGCUUCUGAAACUGCAGGACUUGAGUGCUGGAGGGGAUAGCGGAAUUCCUCGUGGAGCGGUAAAAUGCGCAGAUAUUAGGAAGAACACCGGUGGCGAAGGCGGAAAUCUGGACAGUAACUGGCGCUGAUGCGCGAAAGAGUGGGGAGCAAACAGAAUUAGAAGCCCUGGGAGUCCACGGCGUAAACGAUGAAUACUAGGUGUAGUGGGUAUCGACACCCUCUGUGCCGCAGUUAACACAAUAAGUAUUCCGCCUGGGGAGUACGGCCGCAAGGUUGAAACUCAAAGGAAUUGACGGGG